Molecule: ribosomal RNA, 488 nt
Filed under: Mysmeninae sp. MYSM-033-MAD
Lineage: Eukaryota; Metazoa; Arthropoda; Arachnida; Araneae; Mysmenidae
Description: partial 28S ribosomal RNA
Source: RNAcentral
UUUGAAGAGAGAGUUCAACAGUACGUGAAACUGYUCAGAGGUAAACGGAUGGGCCCUCGAAAUCCUGUGGCGGGAGGAUUCAGUUGGAUGAUGCGGGUGCAGAUGCGUGCUGGCUUUGAAUCAUGAUCUCCUUUUGAGGAAACGGCCGCGUGCACAGUGCCUGCGUCGGACGACGCAUUUGCUUCCCGUCCGAAGGACGCCGCAACCGGUUGGGAGACGGCCUUAAAGGUAGCCGCUGGCAGGUGACUGACGGUGCCGACGAUUCGUCGUUGGCUAAGUUUGCGUUAUAGCCUGGCAUGCCGGAUGGCUCGUAACCCGACCGAGGUAUCGCAAAGGCCCACCAUGGGCAUUAAUCGUCUCCUCUGUGAAAUGAUUUCGGACGCAUGAAUGGCGACAGCGGCUCGAAGGCCUUGAGGGAGCACGGCACCGAAACCGUGUCCCACGAUGGUCUCGCCCACGAUGGUUGCCCGCGACGUYCGUUGGAGGUU